CCCUAGUAACUGCGAGUGAAGCGGGAAAAGCUCAAAUUUAAAAUCUGGCGGUCUUUGGCCGUCCGAGUUGUAGUCUGGAGAAGUGCUUUCCGCGCUGGACCGUGUACAAGUCUCUUGGAACAGAGCGUCAUAGAGGGUGAGAAUCCCGUCUUUGACACGGACUACCAGUGCUUUGUGAUGCGCUCUCAAAGAGUCGAGUUGUUUGGGAAUGCAGCUCAAAAUGGGUGGUAAAUUCCAUCUAAAGCUAAAUAUUGGCGAGAGACCGAUAGCGAACAAGUACCGUGAGGGAAAGAUGAAAAGCACUUUGGAAAGAGAGUUAAACAGUACGUGAAAUUGCUGAAAGGGAAACGCUUGAAGUCAGUCGCGUUGGCCAGGACUCAGCCUUGCUUUUUGCUUGGUGCAUUUUCUGGUUGACGGGCCAGCAUCGAUUUUGACCACUGGAAAAAGGCUAGGGGAAUGUGGCACUUUCGGGUGUGUUAUAGCCCUUAGUCACAUACAGUGGUUGGGAUCGAGGACCGCAGCACGCCUUUAUGGCCGGGGUUCGCCCACGUUCGUGCUUAGGAUGCUGGCGUAAUGGCUUUAAACGACCCGUCUUGAAACACGGACCAAGGAGUCUAACAUGCCUGCGAGUGUUUGGGUGGAAAACCCGAGCGCGUAAUGAAAGUGAAAGUUGAGAUCCCUGUCGUGGGGAGCAUCGACGCCCGGACCUGAACUUCGGUGAUGGAUCUGCGGUAGAGCAUGUAUGUUGGGACCCGAAAGAUGGUGAACUAUGCCUGAAUAGGGUGAAGCCAGAGGAAACUCUGGUGGAGGCUCGUAGCGAUUCUGACGUGCAAAUCGAUCGUCAAAUUUGGGUAUAGGGGCGAAAGAC
Molecule: ribosomal RNA, 868 nt
Filed under: Antrodia wangii
Lineage: Eukaryota; Fungi; Basidiomycota; Agaricomycetes; Polyporales; Fomitopsidaceae
Description: eukaryotic LSU rRNA
Rfam family: Eukaryotic large subunit ribosomal RNA
Source: RNAcentral